RNAcentral lists this ribosomal RNA (675 nucleotides) under Triticum aestivum (bread wheat). Its description in RNAcentral is "partial small subunit ribosomal RNA". Lineage: Eukaryota; Viridiplantae; Streptophyta; Magnoliopsida; Poales; Poaceae. The record is from RNAcentral.
AUGCAGAACCCUAGCAGCAAUCACCCUGCCCCGCCCGCGGCGGCUGCGGGGAAAUCCAAGUCCUCGGGGCAGGCCGCGGCAGCGGCCUCGGGCCAGGGCCAUCAGCCCUCCCCGGCCACGCCUGCGGCUGCCAAGUCCAAGUCCUCGGCCGCGGCAGGGGCCUCGGGCCACGGUCACAACUCCUCCCCGGCCACGCCGGCGGCCGGCAAGUCCAAGGCCUCGGCGCAUGCCGCGGCGCCGGGCCAGGCGUCCUCCUCCAACCAACCGCACGCCGUUGGCGGCGCUGACGCAGCCGCAUCAAGCCUUAAGCGCAAGCGCGGCGUCUUCCAGAAGGACCUGCAGCACAUGAUGUAUGGCUUUGGGGACGAUCCAAAUCCACUUCCAGAAACAGUUGCACUUGUGGAGGACAUUGUUGUAGAAUAUGUUACUGACCUCAGUAGUUUAUGGUUCCAUAGCCGAGUGAAUCCAUGGUGUGCCUUUUCCCAGGUCCACAAGGCUCAGAAUGUGGCUUCAAAGAGGGGGAAGCUCUUGACAGAGGAUUUUCUUUACCUUAUCCGAAAGGAUAUGCGGAAACUGCACCGUGCUACCGAGCUACUCUCCAUGAAUGAAGAGCUCAAGCAAGCAAGGAAAGCUUUUGAUGUGAAUGAAGAAACACUAGUAGUAACCAAUGAGUGA